Molecule: ribosomal RNA, 429 nt
Filed under: bacterium
Lineage: Bacteria
Description: partial 16S ribosomal RNA
Rfam family: Bacterial small subunit ribosomal RNA
Source: RNAcentral
UAGGGAAUCUUCGGCAAUGGGGGCAACCCUGACCGAGCAACGCCGCGUGAGUGAAGAAGGUUUUCGGAUCGUAAAGCUCUGUUGUAAGAGAAGAACGUGUGUGAGAGUGGAAAGUUCACACAGUGACGGUAACUUACCAGAAAGGGACGGCUAACUACGUGCCAGCAGCCGCGGUAAUACGUAGGUCCCGAGCGUUGUCCGGAUUUAUUGGGCGUAAAGCGAGCGCAGGCGGUUUAAUAAGUCUGAAGUUAAAGGCAGUGGCUUAACCAUUGUUCGCUUUGGAAACUGUUAAACUUGAGUGCAGAAGGGGAGGGUGGAAUUCCAUGUGUAGCGGUAAAAGGCGUAGAUAUAUGGAGGAACACCGGUGGCGAAAGCGGCUCUCUGGUCUGUAACUGACGCUGAGGCUCGAAAGCGUGGGGAGCAAACAGG